GGGGUUGUGGCUCAGUGGUAGAGCGCUCGCCUCACAUGUGUGAAGCACUAGGUUCGAUCCUCUGCACCA
Ictidomys tridecemlineatus (thirteen-lined ground squirrel) is the source of this 69-nucleotide non-coding RNA. The record is from Rfam. NCBI's taxonomy places the organism in Eukaryota, Metazoa, Chordata, Mammalia, Rodentia, Sciuridae.